CUUUCAGAACCAGAACCUGGAUGUGGGGUAUCUUCAAGAAACUUUGAGUUGGCCAUUAGCUAAGAACAACAUUCUAGAAGCGUUAAACACAUUGGAUGUUGGUAGAUUUAACCAUUUUUCACUUCAGAAUGAUUUAGAACCUGUUAUUGACUCCACAGUCGAUGUUGCUAUUUUCUUGGACCUCAUAACUUCACUCUCUGUUCAAACCGAUGCCUGGACUGGCCUUCCCACCCUGACCAUAGGGAACUGCUCAAGUGAUACAGACAACAUCUCUGUUUCUUUUUGGGCAGACGAAGCAUCAUUAUGAAAAAAAUACUGGAAGGUGUAUCAGGCCUUCUUAAAUGGACAGUGGCAAAUAUGUUGCAAAACCAA
Molecule: long non-coding RNA, 372 nt
Organism: Mesocricetus auratus (golden hamster)
Lineage: Eukaryota; Metazoa; Chordata; Mammalia; Rodentia; Cricetidae
Exons: 3
Source: RefSeq, a predicted model, not a curated record